CCUACGGGAGACUGCAGUGGGGAAUAUUGCACAAUGGGGGAAACCCUGAUGCAGCGACGCCGCGUGAGUGAAGAAGUAUCUCGGUACGUAAAGCUCUAUCAGCAGGGAAGAAAAUGACGGUACUUGUCUAAGAAGCCACGGCUAACUCCGUGCCAGCAGCCGCGGUAAUACGUAGGGGGCAAGCGUUAUCCGGUUUUACUGGGUGUAAAGGGAGCGGAGACGGCAGCACAAGUCUGGAGUGAAAUCCCGGGGCUUAACCCCGGAACUGCUUUGGAAACUGGGCGGCUGGAGUGCAGGAGGGGUAAGCAGAAUUCCUAGUGUAGCGGUGAAAUGCGUAGAGAUUAGGAGGAACACCGGUGGCGAAGGCGGCUUACUGGACUAUAACUGACGUUGAGGCGCGAAAGCGUGGGGAGCAAACAGGAUUAGAUACCCGAGUAGUC
RNAcentral lists this ribosomal RNA (440 nucleotides) under uncultured bacterium. RNAcentral describes it as "partial 16S ribosomal RNA". It matches the Rfam family "Bacterial small subunit ribosomal RNA", at positions 338 to 795 of the family's 1533-position model. The record is from RNAcentral.